Cydia fagiglandana is the source of this 400-nucleotide long non-coding RNA. RefSeq lists it as uncharacterized. The transcript has 3 exons. Lineage: Eukaryota; Metazoa; Arthropoda; Insecta; Lepidoptera; Tortricidae. The record is from RefSeq and is a predicted model, not a curated record.
AUGUUUGUUACUCCAUAACUCCGUCAUUACUGGACCGAUUUUGAAAAUUCUUUUUUUGAUUGAAUGUAUAUGCAUACAGAUUGAUUGGUCCCGUUUUUGUCAAAACCCAGUUCUGAUGAUGGGGUCCAUGAGGAAUCGAGGGAACUCCUCAAAUCUUAAAGGCAUACAUAUAGUGAUUUUUGGGUUUUUAUCAACAACUCAAGCAUAUACAUCCAAAAAAGUGACAUUUGGUGAAGCGGAACUGCUGAUGAUGAUCAGAACGGAACUCUUCAACGACGCAUAGUACACUUUUGGUCUCUGACCCAGACCAGUUGGACUCGGAGCCGAAACUGGACUCAUACCCUGUACCCUGACUAGGAUCCGGACUCAGACUCGGACACGGAUUCGGACCCGGACUCGG